UAGGGAAUCUUCGGCAAUGGACGGAAGUCUGACCGAGCAACGCCGCGUGAGUGAAGAAGGUUUUCGGAUCGUAAAGCUCUGUUGUUAAGGAAGAACGAGUGUGAGAAUGGAAAGUUCAUACUGUGACGGUACUUAACCAGAAAGGGACGGCUAACUACGUGCCAGCAGCCGCGGUAAUACGUAGGUCCCGAGCGUUGUCCGGAUUUAUUGGGCGUAAAGCGAGCGCAGGCGGUUAGAAAAGUCUGAAGUGAAAGGCAGUGGCUCAACCAUUGUAGGCUUUGGAAACUGUUUAACUUGAGUGCAGAAGGGGAGAGUGGAAUUCCAUGUGUAGCGGUGAAAUGCGUAGAUAUAUGGAGGAACACCGGUGGCGAAAGCGGCUCUCUGGUCUGUAACUGACGCUGAGGCUCGAAAGCGUGGGGAGCGAACAGGAUUAGAUACCCUGGUAGUCCACGCCGUAAACGAUGAGUGCUAGGUGUUAGGUCCUUUCCGGGACUUAGUGCCGCAGCUAACGCAUUAAGCACUCCGCCUGGGGAGUACGACCGCAAGGUUG
Molecule: ribosomal RNA, 550 nt
Filed under: uncultured bacterium
Lineage: Bacteria
Description: bacterial SSU rRNA
Rfam family: Bacterial small subunit ribosomal RNA
Source: RNAcentral